RNAcentral lists this unclassified non-coding RNA (489 nucleotides) under uncultured fungus. Its description in RNAcentral is "partial contains small subunit ribosomal RNA, internal transcribed spacer 1, and 5.8S ribosomal RNA". The stretch from base 1 to 73 matches the Rfam family "Eukaryotic small subunit ribosomal RNA", at positions 1759 to 1831 of the family's 1831-position model. The record is from RNAcentral. Lineage: Eukaryota; Fungi.
ACAAACUUGGUCAUUUAGAGGAAGUAAAAGUCGUAACAAGGUUUCCGUAGGUGAACCUGCGGAAGGAUCAUUAACAAAUCCGGUGUCCUGUUUCAUGCAUUGCAUGUCUCAGUCACACAUGUUCCAUGUGCAUGUUCACUCUGCAUGUGAUUACAUUUCUGCUUGAUUGUCUGAUUGUGACUAUUAAAAUGAUAUAAGAAUGACUUUUAACAAUGGAUCUCUAGGCUCUUGCAUCGAUGACGAACUCAGCCAUUUAGAGGAAGUAAAAGUCGUAACAAGGUUUCCGUAGGUGAACCUGCGGAAGGAUCAUUAACAAAUCCGGUGUCCUGUUUCAUGCAUUGCAUGUCUCAGUCACACAUGUUCCAUGUGCAUGUUCACUCUGCAUGUGAUUACAUUUCUGCUUGAUUGUCUGAUUGUGACUAUUAAAAUGAUAUAAGAAUGACUUUUAACAAUGGAUCUCUAGGCUCUUGCAUCGAUGAAGAACGCAGC